GAGCAUCGUGCUGUCCAAUGUCGAAAAGAUCAUUUUUAAAUGGCAAAAUCGAGCGUAUAUGUAGAGAUGGUAGAGAUUGUAUUUUCAUAUACCAACUUUUUCUUUCAAAACAAUGACCAAUUGAUCUAUAUCGAUACGGGAAAAAAUAGUGACUGGGAAGAAAGACUGCAUCACUCUCGAAUAUAUGAAAUUUACUUGCCACAAUGAACCUGAAAAGGAUCUAAAAAAGCAAGCACUUUCUCUCGUAACAAACAGAUUCGAUAUUCCAAUGGUGUAUCUAGAAAAAACAUUAAUUGUGAUCAAAAAUGAAAACCAGGCGAAUUGGUUUCUUAAUAAUAUGAAUGAUCGUUAGCUGUCAAUAUGAAUUUGGGUCACUAAUAUAGGCACCGUUGAAGAGGAGCUACAAAAUGAAGCUCUCGAGUUGACGAUCCUACCCUCAGCGUCUUUGCAUCUAUCCCACUGUUCUUGAGUCAAGGGCGCACCUGUUCAAGAUUCAUCAUCAGAAUAGGUACAAUUCUAGUUCUUUUAAUGCAUUGAUUUUUUUUUUUCAAAUUUUACCACGA
Long non-coding RNA from Venturia canescens, 563 nucleotides. RefSeq lists it as uncharacterized. The transcript is spliced from 3 exons. The record is from RefSeq and is a predicted model, not a curated record. NCBI's taxonomy places the organism in Eukaryota, Metazoa, Arthropoda, Insecta, Hymenoptera, Ichneumonidae.